Ailuropoda melanoleuca (giant panda) is the source of this 314-nucleotide long non-coding RNA. RefSeq lists it as uncharacterized. The record is from RefSeq and is a predicted model, not a curated record. The transcript has 2 exons. Lineage: Eukaryota; Metazoa; Chordata; Mammalia; Carnivora; Ursidae.
UCGAAGGCCUGGAGUAGCCCGCCCCUCCGCCCUUCCGCCUCUCCAAGCCCUCGCAGGCCUGUCACCUACACUUCUUGGGCGCGUUUUUCUCAGUGGCGUGUGGGUGGAUGUGCGUGGAGUGGCCCAGAGAGAGUGCUGGACUCCCUCCCCCCUCAAGGCUGGAGUUCAAGGAGCACCUGGUGGAGAGAGGAAACAGCAGGAAUGGGCAGCCACACCCAGUGUUGGGAGGAUUCCAGGCCUCCGGCAACGUAAAAGGCACUCCCUUCUCUAACCAGAAUUGGCCCGGAAAUGAAUAAAUACCCAUAAAAAAAUCA